GAUGCCUGAUCUCAUCAAUCUAGCGGGAGAGACAGGAUAACCUGUCCGAGAGUAUAGCGCCACUAUGACUCCGCCGGAAAAAUUACUUUAAAAAUCGCCAAAAAUUACUUGGAGCAAAGGGCAGUCGGCGGAGCUUCGCCAAGGCUGGCGCAGUCGGUUUUGACCUGUAGCAGAGAACCAAUUCUGGAGAACAGCCUCACUUCUUUGAUUGAAUACUUACAUAAUGCAUUGGAACAUGACAUGAGAUUAAGGUUUAAUAAUGAUAGAAUGAAGACCACAAUAAAAGAGACCUCUACUUAGCUCAGCAAUUCUUACCUUUCUUACCUAUUUGAUGAAGAUGUCUUUUGAAAGGUGUACUGCAAGGAACAAAAUGUUUGUAAAUUCUCCUUUUACCAAGGUUUCUUUUUUAAUUGAUGCCAAAGAGUUCCAAUAUUGAACAUCUUAAGUCUGUUACUUGGAUUACGGAUUGAGUUUGGAGCUUACUCAGAGGACUACAGGAGAGUAUCCAGGAAGUAGCAAGAAAUGUGGAUAAUUACUGUACCUUCCUCAUGGAAAAAGUUUUAUUUAAAGUGUUAUUUCUCAUUGAAUACUAUCAAAAAGGAAAAAAAAAUGACCUAAACUUUUGAGAUAGAUUUGGCUCUAGUAAGUAUUUAGUUAUAUCACUUGCAUAUCUGGGAGAAGAAAUAAGAGACUAUCAUCAGUACAUUCCCAUCUACUAAAAAAAUUUAUUUUACACAUGUCAAGGGAUUACUUAUAACUUCCAUUUUAUUACGAAUUGCUUGAACCUGGGAGGUGGAGGUUGCAGUGGGCUAAGAUGGCACCACUGCACUCCAGCCUGGGUGAGAGAGCAAGACCCUGCCUCAGAAAAAAAAAAAAAAAAAAUCUAAGACCUGUAUAUCAAAUUUUGAGUUUGUUUCUUCUUUUGUACCUCAAUAGUUACAUUUAUCAAAAAGCUGAGCUGUUGUAAAAUUGUGGAAUUCACAUUGGAUAUUCAAAAACAUUUCUUACUAUUAAUGACAACCAAUAGUUAUGGAUAUUUCAUUUUAAACAUGGUUAUAAAAUGUAAACAUGACACUAAUAAGCUCAAUAAAUGUUUGGCCUGUCUAGUAUAAUAAA
This 1116-nucleotide long non-coding RNA is filed under the name Homo sapiens (human). The record is from RNAcentral. Lineage: Eukaryota; Metazoa; Chordata; Mammalia; Primates; Hominidae.